This 482-nucleotide ribosomal RNA is filed under the name uncultured bacterium. RNAcentral's name for it is "partial 16S ribosomal RNA". It matches the Rfam family "Bacterial small subunit ribosomal RNA", at positions 30 to 507 of the family's 1533-position model. The record is from RNAcentral.
AUUGAACGCUGGCGGCAUGCCUUACACAUGCAAGUCGAACGGUAACAGGUCUUCGGAUGCUGACGAGUGGCGAACGGGUGAGUAAUACAUCGGAACGUGCCCAGACGUGGGGGAUAACGAGGCGAAAGCUUUGCUAAUACCGCAUACGAUCUAAGGAUGAAAGCAGGGGACCGCAAGGCCUUGCGCGUUUGGAGCGGCCGAUGGCAGAUUAGGUAGUUGGUGGGAUAAAAGCUUACCAAGCCGACGAUCUGUAGCUGGUCUGAGAGGACGACCAGCCACACUGGGACUGAGACACGGCCCAGACUCCUACGGGAGGCAGCAGUGGGGAAUUUUGGACAAUGGGCGAAAGCCUGAUCCAGCAAUGCCGCGUGCAGGAUGAGGGCCUUCGGGUUGUAAACUGCUUUUGUACGGAACGAAAAGGCUCUGGCUAAUACCUGGGGCACAUGACGGUACCGUAAGAAUAAGCACCGGCUAACUACGUG